Non-coding RNA from Bactrocera oleae (olive fruit fly), 734 nucleotides. The record is from RefSeq and is a predicted model, not a curated record. Lineage: Eukaryota; Metazoa; Arthropoda; Insecta; Diptera; Tephritidae.
ACUCUUAAUGUUAAACAAGCCACGACAAGGCUGUCCGCUAGACGUCCUUACAGCGCUGUGACUGCACUUGGUCAUUAAAAAAUUAUGACAAUUUUUUGUUUCACAUUUAGUCCACUAUGCAUUUUUCAAGUACAUUAAAGACACCUGCAAGAAGUAAAUGAGACAAUAAAUGAAAUAGCUGAGGCAUUUUUAAAAAAAUAUUGCCAUAAUGAAGAAAAGCACAACUGUCAGGACUUUACGAUGUUCCUUAACUGAGUCGGAAAAAGGCUACCCUAUGGUUGAAAAUAUUGCAGAAGUGUUUUGGGAAGUAUACUUUAUCACGAACACAAUUAUUUUAGAAGCACAAAGCAUUCAGUGAAGGUCGGCAUCAGAGAGAUAGCAGCGGAUUUUAACAUCUGUUAUGGAUCGACUCAAUCCAUUUGGGUUAGCCGACGUCGAGUAGAUGUGGCAUAAGAGAUUCUUGACAACGUAGCUGAGGACCCUACAUUCAUCAAACGCAUCAUUAUUGAUGACGAGACGUGGGUUUAUGAAUAUGAUGUCGAAAAUGAUCAACAAUAUUGCCGCCAAUGGCACUCCAAAAAUGAGUCGAAACCGUAAAAAAAUCAAUUUCGCUGAAGGCACUGAUGGCCAUCCCAGCCGAAGUUUAUAACAAGUGUUUGGAAAAUUGGAUUAAGCGUUGGUAUGCUUGCAUUAGCUGAGACUAUAAUAAAUAUUUGUAUUUAAAUACGUGAAAA